Long non-coding RNA from Vidua macroura (Pin-tailed whydah), 438 nucleotides. RefSeq lists it as uncharacterized. Lineage: Eukaryota; Metazoa; Chordata; Aves; Passeriformes; Viduidae. The transcript has 4 exons. The record is from RefSeq and is a predicted model, not a curated record.
GGAAAAGCAGUAAAUGGAACCUCUGAAAACUAAUUGUUUUGCUUCUGUGUGACUCGAGAAAGAAAAAAGCUUUAAGAAUCACAUUCACUUGGAGGAAUUUAAAUUUCUCUCUGAGAAGUUUAUAGAGGGACUGUACUAAAGAAAUGAAUUCCUUUACUGCAAAAAAUCAUGACUAUUUAUUGAUUCAGAAAGAAAACAGACUGAAAUUCUGGGUCUUCUGAAUAACAUGUGUUUUAUGCUGUUCAUCACCAGAAGUAAUCCUUUUAACAAGAAACUCUUCCCUAGACUUUGAAGAUCAGAUGUGCUUCAGUAAGAAAUGACACUACAGUGAACUAGACAGACUACUGGUCUGUUCUGGAGUGGCAGUAAUCCAGUAAAUUCCAGAAGAGUUUCAAGAGGCUCAUCAUUGUCUUGCAGUGUUUCUCCAUCUCUCUAAGA